AGAGCUCACGACCUCCUGUGGCUAAGAUCAAAUGUAGUAUGUAUUCUUAUCAGUUUAAUAUCCGAUAUGUCCUCUAUUUGAGGACUCUAUAUUUUUUAUGAGCUCCAGGCAUAAUUUGCAUAUUCUCAGUGCAUUCUGUGAGGAAGUGGAAAGCAACU
Molecule: small nuclear RNA, 158 nt
Filed under: Salvator merianae (Argentine black and white tegu)
Lineage: Eukaryota; Metazoa; Chordata; Lepidosauria; Squamata; Teiidae
Description: U2 spliceosomal RNA (ENSSMRG00000012255.1)
Rfam family: U2 spliceosomal RNA
About the family: U2 is a small nuclear RNA (snRNA) component of the spliceosome (involved in pre-mRNA splicing). Complementary binding between U2 snRNA (in an area lying towards the 5' end but 3' to hairpin I) and the branchpoint sequence (BPS) of the intron results the bulging out of an unpaired adenosine, on the BPS, which initiates a nucleophilic attack at the intronic 5' splice site, thus starting the first of two transesterification reactions that mediate splicing.
Source: RNAcentral